RNAcentral lists this ribosomal RNA (497 nucleotides) under uncultured bacterium. Its description in RNAcentral is "partial 16S ribosomal RNA". It matches the Rfam family "Bacterial small subunit ribosomal RNA", at positions 28 to 507 of the family's 1533-position model. The record is from RNAcentral.
GAUGAACGCUGGCGGCGUGCCUAAUACAUGCAAGUCGAGCGAAAAGACGAGGAGCUUGCUCCUCUCACGUUUGCGGCGGAGGGGUGAGUAACACGUGGAUAACCUACCUAUAAGACUGGGAUAACUUCGGGAAACCGGAUCUAAUCCCGGAUAAUAUCUUGAACCGUAUGGUUCAAUAGUGAAAGACGGUUUUGCUGUCACUUAUAGCUGGAUCCCCGCCGCAUUAGCUAGUUGGUAAGGUAACGGCUUACCAAGGCAACGAUGCGUAGCCGACCUGAGAGGGUGAUCGGCCACACUGGAACUGAGACACGGUCCAUACUCCUACGGGAGGCAGCAGUAGGGAAUCGUCCGCAAUGGGCGAAAGCCUGACGGAGCAACGCCGCGUGAGUUAUGAAGGUCUUCGGAUCGUAAAACUCUGUUAUUAGGUAAGAACAAAUGUGUAAGUAACUAUGCACGUCUUGACGGUACCUAAUCAGAAAGCCACGGCUAACUACGUG